Long non-coding RNA from Sinocyclocheilus anshuiensis, 277 nucleotides. RefSeq lists it as uncharacterized. NCBI's taxonomy places the organism in Eukaryota, Metazoa, Chordata, Actinopteri, Cypriniformes, Cyprinidae. The record is from RefSeq and is a predicted model, not a curated record. The transcript has 3 exons.
GCAGCAACUACGAGAGCAGCUGAUUAUUGACUGCAAUCACGAGUGGAUCAACUUCCUUCAGCUAUUUGGGGACCAUUACUACAUCCUGAGGAAAGCAGUGUGUCACCUAGCAACCAUGGACUGCCUCCUCUCAUUGGCCCAGGUUGCUAAAGAAAAUAAUUACUGCAGGCCUGAGGUUCUUGAGGAGAAAAGUCAGAUUUUGAUCACGGCAGGCAAGCAUCCGGUCAUCACCUCGCUGAUGGGAGAUCAGGAUCAAUAUGUCCCCAAUGACACUCAU